ACUAUCCCUAACUACAAAAGCUACUACCAUACAUAAUAAAAUCUACUACUACCAAGUAAUACAAAAUAUACUAUUACAGUGUCAAAAAUAUACUACUACUGUGUUGGAAAUAUACUAUCAUAACCAUAACCAGUCAAUUGUGAGCUUGUUGAGCGUUGAGCAUGUCAAGAGGACGGUUCCAUUCUCGGUAGAGCCUUCGUUUCCCGACGUUGUCGAUGCCAGCAACGACGGGUUUAUCUAGAUCGGAUUUAGAGGUGAAGGCGCUAGAUGGUUGAGCGGAUCAAAUCAGAAGGCGUCAUCGUCGAUCCGGAGGCUUCGUCGUUGGGCCGGCGACGUCGAGGUCGAAUCAGAACACGUCAAGGUCAAAUCAGAAGAGGCCGAGGUUGAGGCCGAAUUAGAAGUCUGGAUUGGAUCUAGAGGUGAAGGCGCUAGAUGGUUGAGCGGAUCAAAUCAGAAGGCGUCAUCGUCGAUCCGGAGGCUUCGUCGUUGGGCCGGCGACGUCGAGGUCGAAUCAGAAGAGGCCGAGGUUGAGGCCGAAUUAGAAGUCGUCGUUGAUGGAAUUAGACGCAGUCGAGGCGUCAACGUUAAGCUGGCAGCGUCGAGGUCGAGGCGUCAUCUUUGGCUGGCAGCGUCGAGGUUGAGGUCGAGGCGUCGUCAUCGUCGUCGGAGUAGCAGAUCGGCGCCGAGCUAUCAUCGUCGAGUCAGUGUUGGCUUGAGACGCCGCCAUGGCUGGAGAUUCAAGAUCGGAGAAGAGAGGGAGAAGGAAGACGAUGAGCCAGAGAGAGAGAGAGAGAGAGGAAAGUGAAGGAUUCGUGUGAGAGAAUGGAUUUGUAGGGAAUGAGGGUAUUUUAGGAACAUCAUAAAAGUAAAAUAACAGGUUUAGGCUUAAAAGUGGACUUAUAUGGGUAAAAAUAUUAAGGUGGACUUAUGCUACAAAAAAUGUUGAGAAAAUGACUUAAGUGAAAUUUUCUAUUGUAAAAAUCAUGGUAAUGGACACAUACUAAUACAAAACCCAACCAGCCCGAAUAUUAGUGGGCUUACCAAACU
RNAcentral lists this long non-coding RNA (1047 nucleotides) under Fragaria vesca (wild strawberry). Its description in RNAcentral is "long non-coding RNA (FVES_LNC002452)". The record is from RNAcentral. Lineage: Eukaryota; Viridiplantae; Streptophyta; Magnoliopsida; Rosales; Rosaceae.